AGGGAUAUGGUGUCAAUGGUAGCAUGCCGGUCUCCAAAACCGUUGGUACGAGUUCAAAUCUUGUUAUCCCUGCCA
RNAcentral lists this transfer RNA (75 nucleotides) under Acholeplasmatales bacterium. RNAcentral describes it as "tRNA-Trp". It matches the Rfam family "tRNA". Rfam says of the family: Transfer RNA (tRNA) molecules are approximately 80 nucleotides in length. Their secondary structure includes four short double-helical elements and three loops (D, anti-codon, and T loops). The record is from RNAcentral. Lineage: Bacteria; Bacillati; Mycoplasmatota; Mollicutes; Acholeplasmatales.